This 253-nucleotide ribosomal RNA is filed under the name uncultured bacterium. RNAcentral describes it as "partial 16S ribosomal RNA". It matches the Rfam family "Bacterial small subunit ribosomal RNA", at positions 524 to 776 of the family's 1533-position model. The record is from RNAcentral.
UACGUAUGGUGCAAGCGUUAUCCGGAUUUACUGGGUGUAAAGGGAGCGCAGGCGGCACGGCAAGCCUGAUGUGAAAGCCCGCGGCCCAACCGCGGGACUGCAUUGGGAACUACCGGGCUGGAGUGCCGGAGAGGUAGGCGGAAUUCCUAGUGUAGCGGUGAAAUGCGUAGAUAUUAGGAGGAACACCAGUGGCGAAGGCGACUUUCUGGACGAUAACUGACGUUGAGGCACGAAAGUGUGGGGAGCAAACAGG